CUCUGAUUCAAACAUUGUGUGUAUUUUGUACCUUGUAUGAUAAUGUCAACGUAUGCUUUUUAGUAGAACAUACAUCAUCCACACACAUGCACCGGUGUAAGCUUCUACAUCUGCUGACGUGAAGUAGAGAUUUAUUCGGACAACUCAUUCACAAGGAAAUAAAUAUGGUGGCUUUGCCACAUUCAAGACAUACAUAAAGGGUUUCUUACGUGAUUUGAAGUUGUC
Pelobates cultripes (western spadefoot toad) is the source of this 225-nucleotide non-coding RNA. The record is from the annotation of a GenBank genome assembly. NCBI's taxonomy places the organism in Eukaryota, Metazoa, Chordata, Amphibia, Anura, Pelobatidae.